RNAcentral lists this microRNA precursor (72 nucleotides) under Papilio xuthus (Asian swallowtail). RNAcentral's name for it is "mir-11 microRNA precursor family". It matches the Rfam family "mir-11 microRNA precursor family". Lineage: Eukaryota; Metazoa; Arthropoda; Insecta; Lepidoptera; Papilionidae. The record is from Rfam by way of RNAcentral.
UCUUGUGGCUAGGACUCGGCCUGUGACUUGUGUGUCAGGUGUCACAUCACAGUCAGAGUUCUAGCUCCACGG